RNAcentral lists this ribosomal RNA (319 nucleotides) under uncultured eukaryote. RNAcentral describes it as "partial 18S ribosomal RNA". It matches the Rfam family "Eukaryotic small subunit ribosomal RNA", at positions 1470 to 1796 of the family's 1831-position model. The record is from RNAcentral.
CCCUUAGAUGUUCUGGGCAGCACGCGCGCUACAAUGGUCUUGGCAAACGGAUGCAUUCUCGAAGGAGAAUGCCAAUCUUGGAAUCUAUGCCUUGGUCGGGACAGUUGCUUGCAAUUUUUCGACUCGAACCAGGAAUUCCUUGUAAUCGUGAUUCAUCACAUCACGAUGAAUACGUCCCUGCCCUUUGUACACACCGCCCGUCGCUCCUACCGAUCGAAGAGUUAGGUGAAUUGUUUUGAUCGAUAAGAUUUGACUAUGGUCAACUCUCGUUGUGAAAUUCUGUGAAUCUGACUGUUUAGAGGAAGGAAAAGUCGUAACA